RNAcentral lists this ribosomal RNA (369 nucleotides) under uncultured organism. RNAcentral's name for it is "bacterial SSU rRNA". It matches the Rfam family "Bacterial small subunit ribosomal RNA", at positions 526 to 896 of the family's 1533-position model. The record is from RNAcentral.
CGUAAGGGGCGAGCGUUGUUCGGAAUUAUUGGGCGUAAAGGGCACGCAGGCGGCCUGACAAGUCUGGUGUGAAAUCUCCGGGCUCAACUCGGGAAACGCGCUGGAAACUGUCAAGCUAGAGUAUUGGAGGGGGAGUCGGAAUUCCUAGUGUAGGGGUGAAAUCUGUUGAUAUUAGGAAGAACACCGGUGGCGAAGGCGGACUCCUGGCUGAAUACUGACGCUGAGGUGCGAAAGCAUAGGGAGCAAACAGGAUUAGAUACCCUGGUAGUCUAUGCUGUAAACGAUGUGCACUUGGUGUUGGGCCGAUUAGGCUCAGUGCCGUAGCUAACGCGAUAAGUGCGCCGCCUGGGGAGUAUGCCCGCAAGGGUG